Molecule: ribosomal RNA, 420 nt
Filed under: uncultured bacterium
Lineage: Bacteria
Description: bacterial SSU rRNA
Rfam family: Bacterial small subunit ribosomal RNA
Source: RNAcentral
GAAUAUUGGUCAAUGGACGCAAGUCUGAACCAGCCAUGCCGCGUGCAGGAUGGCGGUCCUAUGGAUUGUAAACUGCUUUUGUACGAGAAGAAACACUCCUACGUGUAGGAAUUUGACGGUAUCGUAAGAAUAAGGAUCGGCUAACUCCGUUCCAGCCGCCGCGGUAAUACGGAGGAUCCAAGCGUUAUCCGGAAUCAUUGGGUUUAAAGGGUCCGUAGGCGGUUUAGUAAGUCAGUGGUGAAAGCCCAUCGCUCAACGGUGGAACGGCCAUCGAUACUGCUAGACUUGAAUUAUUAGGAAGUAACUAGAAUAUGUAGUGUAGCGGUGAAAUGCUUAGAGAUUACAUGGAAUACCAAUUGCGAAGGCAGGUUACUACUAAUUGAUUGACGCUGAUGGACGAAAGCGUGGGGAGCGAACAGG